Molecule: transfer RNA, 74 nt
Filed under: Candidatus Aenigmatarchaeota archaeon
Lineage: Archaea; Nanobdellati; Candidatus Aenigmatarchaeota
Description: tRNA-Phe
Rfam family: tRNA
About the family: Transfer RNA (tRNA) molecules are approximately 80 nucleotides in length.
Source: RNAcentral
GGGACAGUAGCUCAACCCGGGAGAGCACACGCCUGAAGAGCGUGGUGUUGCGAGUUCAAAUCUCGCCUGUCCCA